RNAcentral lists this ribosomal RNA (379 nucleotides) under uncultured eukaryote. RNAcentral's name for it is "partial 18S ribosomal RNA". It matches the Rfam family "Eukaryotic small subunit ribosomal RNA", at positions 592 to 976 of the family's 1831-position model. The record is from RNAcentral.
CAAUAGCGUAUAUUUAAGUUGUUGCAGUUAAAAAGCUCGUAGUUGGAUUUCGGAUGGGACUUGCCGGUCCGUCGUUUCGAUGUGCACUGGCCAGUCCUAUCUUGUUGUCGGGAACUAGCUCCUGGGCUUCACUGUCCGGGACUAGGAGCUGACGAGGUUACUUUGAGUAAAUUAGAGUGUUCAAAGCAAGCCUACGCUCUGAAUACAUUAGCAUGGAAUAACACGAUAGGACUCUGGCUUAUCUUGUUGGUCUGUGAGACCAGAGUAAUGAUUAAGAGGGACAGUCGGGGGCAUUCGUAUUUCAUUGUCAGAGGUGAAAUUCUUGGAUUUAUGAAAGACGAACUUCUGCGAAAGCAUUUGUCAAGGAUGUUUUCAUUAA